GCCCUUUUCCGGUUGAUCCUGCCGGAGGCCAUUGCUAUCAGGGUUUGACUAAGCCAUGCGAGUCGAGAGGUGUAAGACCUCGGCAUACUGCUCAGUAACACGUGGUUAACCUGCCCUAAGGUGGAGCAUACUCCCGGGAAACUGGGGCUAAUCCUCCAUAGUGGAUGUAUCCUGGAAUGGUAUAUCCUCGAAAGAUCCGUCGCCUUAGGAUGGGACUGCGUCCGAUUAGGUUGUUGGCGGGGUAACGGCCCACCAAGCCAUUGAUCGGUACGGGUUGUGGGAGCAAGAUCCCGGAGAUGGAUUCUGAGACAUGAAUCCAGGCCCUACGGGGCGCAGCAGGCGCGCAAACUUUACAAUGCGAGCAAUCGUGAUAAGGAAACCCUGAGUGCCUGUCGAUGCAGGCUGUUCAUAUAUCUAAAUCGUAUGUGAAGAAAGGGCAGGGCAAGACCGGUGCCAGCCGCCGCGGUAAUACCGGCUGCUCGAGUGAUGGCCACUAUUACUGGGUUUAAAGCGUCCGUAGCUUGACUGU
Molecule: ribosomal RNA, 529 nt
Filed under: uncultured archaeon
Lineage: Archaea
Description: bacterial SSU rRNA
Rfam family: Archaeal small subunit ribosomal RNA
Source: RNAcentral